RNAcentral lists this ribosomal RNA (1410 nucleotides) under uncultured Bordetella sp. Its description in RNAcentral is "partial 16S-23S ribosomal RNA intergenic spacer". It matches the Rfam family "Bacterial small subunit ribosomal RNA". The record is from RNAcentral. Lineage: Bacteria; Pseudomonadati; Pseudomonadota; Betaproteobacteria; Burkholderiales; Alcaligenaceae.
AGUCGAACGGCAGCACGGACUUCGGUCUGGUGGCGAGUGGCGAACGGGUGAAAGGUAAUGUAUCGGAACGUGCCUACAAUGCAGCGAGGAUAACACGCGCGAAAGCGGCUAAUACCGCAUACGCCGGGGGAAAGCGGGGACCUUCGGGCCUCGCACUAUUAAACGUGCCGAUAUCGGUUAAAAAGCUAGUUGGUGGGGUAACGGCUCACCAAGGCGACGAUCCGUAGCUGGUUUGAAGAGGACGACCAGCCACACUGGGACUGAGACACGGCCCAGACUCCACCGGGGAGGCAGCAGUGGGGGCUUUUGGACGUCAGGAAACCUGAUCAGCCAUCCGCGUGCGUGAAAGCCGGAUUUGCAAACACUUUUGGCGGGAAAACGGCACGGGGAUAACUACCCCGUACAACUGACGACACUAUGCGAAUAGCCUGGCUAACUACGUGCCAACAGCCGCGGCAAUACGUAGGGUGCAAGCGUUAAUCGGAAUUACUGGGCGUAAAGCGUGCGCAGGCGGUUCGGAAGAAGAUGUGAAAUCGGAAGCAACUUUGGAACUGCAUUUUUAACUACCGAUAGAGUGUGUCAGAGGAGAGUGGAAUUCCCGCAUGUAGCAGUGAAAUGCGUAGAUAUGCGGAGGAACACCGAUAGCAGGGGCAGCCUCCUGGGAUAACACUGACGCUCAUGCACAGAAAGCGUGGGAGCAAACAGGAUUAGAUACCCUGUAGUAGUCCACGCCCUAAACGAUGUCAACUAGCUGUUGGGGCCUUCGGGCCUUGGUAGCGCAACUAACGCGUGAAGUUGACCGCCUGGGGAGUACGGUCGCAAGAUUAAACUCAAAGGAAUUGACGGGGACCCGCACAAGCGGUGGAUGAUGUGGAUUAAUUCGAUGCAACGCGAAAAACCUUACCCUUGACAUGUCUGGAAUCCCGAAGAGAUUUGGUGCUCGCAAGAGAACCGGAACACAGGUGCUGCAUGGCUGUCGUCAGCUCGUGUCGUGAGAUGUUGGGUUAAGUCCCGCAACGAGCGCAACCCUUGUCAUGGUGCACGAAAGGGCACUCAGCGGACUGCCGGUGACAAACCGGAGGAAGGUGGGGAUGACGUCAAGUCCCCAUGGCCCUUAUGGUGAGGCCACACGUCAUACAAUGGUCGGGACAGAGGUCGCCAACCUUACGGGGAGCCAAUCCCAGAAACCCGAUCGUAGUCCGGAUCGCAGUCUGCAACUCGACUGCGUGAAGGUAAGAAUCGCUAGUAAUCGCGGAUCAGCAUGUCGCGGUGAAUACCGGGUCUUGUACCUGCUAAUCACACCAUGGGAGUGGGUUUUACCGAAGUAGUUAGCCUAACCGUAAGGAGGGCGAUUACCACGGUAGGAUUCAUGACUGGGGUGAAGUCGUAACAAGGUAGCUCUGUUACUAC